This 391-nucleotide ribosomal RNA is filed under the name uncultured bacterium. RNAcentral describes it as "bacterial SSU rRNA". It matches the Rfam family "Bacterial small subunit ribosomal RNA", at positions 28 to 420 of the family's 1533-position model. The record is from RNAcentral.
GACGAACGCUGGCGGCGUGCUUAACACAUGCAAGUCGAGCGGUAAGGCCCUUUCGGGGGUACACGAGCGGCGAACGGGUGAGUAACACGUGGGUGACCUGCCCUCAGCUCUGGGAUAAGCCUGGGAAACUGGGUCUAAUACUGGAUAUGACUCCACGGUGCAUGUCGUGGGGUGGAAAGCCUUGUGCGGCUGAGGAUGGGCCCGCGGCCUAUCAGCUUGUUGGUGGGGUGANGGCCUACCAAGGCGACGACGGGUAGCCGGCCUGAGAGGGCGACCGGCCACACUGGGACUGGGACACGGCCCAGACUCCUACGGGAGGCAGCAGUGGGGAAUCUUGCGCAAUGGGCGAAAGCCUGACGCAGCGACGCCGCGUGAGGGAUGACGGCCUGGU